Molecule: ribosomal RNA, 253 nt
Filed under: uncultured bacterium
Lineage: Bacteria
Description: partial 16S ribosomal RNA
Rfam family: Bacterial small subunit ribosomal RNA
Source: RNAcentral
UACGUAGGGGGCUAGCGUUGCUCGGAAUCAUUGGGCGUAAAGCGCACGUAGGCGGCUUGUUGCGUCAGCUGUGAAAACCCGCAGCUCAACUGUGGGCUUGCAGCUGAUACGGGCAGGCUUGAGUUCGGUAGGGGAGACUGGAAUUCCAGGUGUAGCGGUGAAAUGCGCAGAUAUCAGGAGGAACACCGGUGGCGAAGGCGGGUCUCUGGGCCGUUACUGACGCUGAGGAGCGAAAGCGUGGGGAGCGAACAGG